AAGGUUCGCGCAAGCGAUGAAAAGGGAAUGGGGUGUGAGUCCCCAACUGUCCCGCAGCUGUAAGUUUCCUUUUGGAGCAAUACACAUAAGCCACUGAGAUUUUCGGGAAGGCGUGUUGCUUGGGAACAAGUCAGAAGACCUGCCUUUUGUG
Molecule: non-coding RNA, 151 nt
Filed under: uncultured Prevotella sp.
Lineage: Bacteria; Pseudomonadati; Bacteroidota; Bacteroidia; Bacteroidales; Prevotellaceae
Source: RNAcentral